CCCCACUGCUAUCGAGGUGAGACUUAGCCAGGCCAGUCGAACGACUCGGACUAUGGCGAGAAGUGGCAAACUGCUCAGUAACACGUAGCUAACCUACCCUCAGGACGGAGACAACCCCGGGAAACUGGGGUUAAUCCCUGAUAGGCGUGGAUUCCUGGAAUGGUGUCACGCCGAAACGUUAACACACCAUGUUUGUGUACACGCCUGAGGAUGGGGCUGCGGCCGAUCAGGCAGUUGGUGAGGUAACGGCUCACCAAACCUUUGACCGGUACGGGCCGUGAGAGCGGUAGCCCGGAGAUGGACACUGAGACAAGGGUCCAGGACCUACGGGUCGCAGCCGGUACGAAACCUCCACAAUGCACGCAAGUGCGAUGGGGUUACCUCGAAUGCCGCCUGAAGAAGGCGGCUUUUCCAUUGUGUAAUGAGCCGUGGGAAUAAGGGGGGGGCAAGACUGGUGUCAGCCGCCGCGGUAACACCAGCCCCCCGAGUGGUGGGGAUGUUUAUUUGGCCUAAAACGUCCGUAGCCAGCUAGGUAAAUCUCUCGUUAAAUCCAGCGUCCUAGGCGUUGGGCUGCGAGAGAGACUGCCAAGCUAGAGGGUGGGAGAGGUCAGCGGUAUUUCUGGGGUAGGGGCGAAAUCCAUUGAUCCCAGGAGGACCACCAGUGGCGAAGGCUGCUGACUAGAACACGCCUGACGGUGAGGGACGAAAGCUGGGGUAGCGAAUCGGAUUAGAUACCCGAGUAGUCCCAGCCGUAAACGAUGCAGGCUAGGUGUUGGGUUGGCCACGUGCCGACUCAGUGCCACAGGGAAGCCAUUAAGCCUGCUGCCUGGGGAGUACGGUCGCAAGGCUGAAACUUAAAGGAAUUGGCGGGAGAGCACCACCAGGCGUGAAGCCUGCGGUUUAAUUGGAUUCAACGCCGG
RNAcentral lists this ribosomal RNA (920 nucleotides) under uncultured archaeon. Its description in RNAcentral is "bacterial SSU rRNA". It matches the Rfam family "Archaeal small subunit ribosomal RNA", at positions 21 to 921 of the family's 1478-position model. The record is from RNAcentral.